GGGAAUGUGGCUUAGUGGUAGAGUGUUUGUCUAGCAUGUAUGAAGCCUUGGGUUCGAUUCCUCAUUACCA
Molecule: transfer RNA, 70 nt
Filed under: Dipodomys ordii (Ord's kangaroo rat)
Lineage: Eukaryota; Metazoa; Chordata; Mammalia; Rodentia; Heteromyidae
Rfam family: tRNA
About the family: Transfer RNA (tRNA) molecules are approximately 80 nucleotides in length.
Source: Rfam by way of RNAcentral